CUGUGAAUUUCAACUGAUUGGAACUAGGAGAUAAACAUUGACAAUACUCUAUAAUUCCAUUCUAGGACACGACUAAUUCCCAUAAGUCACAUUUUUAAGUCUUUUUGUUAAAAAGUUUUUAUUAAGUUAUCUUUUUUUCUGCAAAUCCGAGCCGACCUCUUCAAAUCAUUUGAAAGUGCGCCGUCUGGAUCGUGAUGUGCCGCGUCUGCCCCUCUAGAUGUCAGUCAAACCUAAAACAUGGCUGACGUCACGCUGGAAAAGAACCGGAAAGGCGACUUCAUCACGUUCAAAAGGAUUUUCUGGUAAAGGGGAGAAUUCACGGUUCCAUCAAUCACAGCAAGUCGUCCAGGUCCUGAAGUAGGAAAGCACCCCAAGACCAUCAGACUACCACCAUGUUUGACUGUUGAAAAGAAGUCUGGGACAGCUCCAACGGACCUCUGAACCCUUUGGAUGCCUUCACCAUAACGCUUCAUGUAGUCUCCGAGACCUGUGGAAGGAUGCCGCAUCAGGGAUGGACUGCAAAUAAGGCCCAACAACACGUGAAUGUGCCAACAUGACCACGGCGGGACAACAUUUAAGCGAGUGACGCACUGCCCCGCAUUCUCAUCGUGGCUACCAAUCCAGACGAACCUGUCGGUUCACCCCGUCGAGAACAGCCAAAGAACCCGAAGCGAUCGUUCCGGUCAGGCAAGUACAAUCUCUUGCGACAAUGUCAAAGAUAUUAAUGUUUGAUUGCGUGUCAAUUGGAAAAGCCGCCACUGUCAAACAGC
Molecule: long non-coding RNA, 770 nt
Organism: Syngnathoides biaculeatus (alligator pipefish)
Lineage: Eukaryota; Metazoa; Chordata; Actinopteri; Syngnathiformes; Syngnathidae
Exons: 4
Source: RefSeq, a predicted model, not a curated record